GCAAGUCGAGGGGUAACGAUAGUGCUUGCCCUAGGCGACGACCGGCGCACGGGUGAGUAACGCGUAUGCAACCUACCCUUACUGGGGAAUAGCCCAUGGAAACGUGGAUUAAUGCCCCAUAGUAUGUAUGAAUCGCAUGGUUUAUAUAUUAAAGUUCCGGCGGUAAGAGAUGGGCAUGCGUGCCAUUAGAUAGUUGGUGAGGUAACGGCUUACCAAGACAGCGAUGGUUACGGGGUCUUAGAGGAUGGUC
RNAcentral lists this ribosomal RNA (250 nucleotides) under uncultured bacterium. RNAcentral describes it as "partial 16S ribosomal RNA". It matches the Rfam family "Bacterial small subunit ribosomal RNA", at positions 57 to 305 of the family's 1533-position model. The record is from RNAcentral.